RNAcentral lists this ribosomal RNA (443 nucleotides) under uncultured bacterium. Its description in RNAcentral is "bacterial SSU rRNA". It matches the Rfam family "Bacterial small subunit ribosomal RNA", at positions 338 to 795 of the family's 1533-position model. The record is from RNAcentral.
CCUACGGGGGGCAGCAGUAGGGAAUUUUCCGCAAUGGGCGAAAGCCUGACGGAGCAAUACCGCGUGAGGGAUGACUGCCUAUGGGUUGUAAACCUCUUUUUUCAGGGAGGAAUAAAUGACGUGUACCUGAAGAAUAAGCAUCGGCUAACUCCGUGCCAGCAGCCGCGGUAAGACGGAGGAUGCAAGUGUUAUCCGGAAUCACUGGGCGUAAAGCGUCUGUAGGUGGCUCGACAAGUCAACUGUUAAAUCUUGAAGCUCAACUUCAAAAUCGCAGUCGAAACUAUCGGACUAGAGUAUAGUAGAGGUAAAGGGAAUUUCCAGUGGAGCGGUGAAAUGCGUAGAGAUUGGAAAGAACACCAAUGGCGAAGGCACUUUACUGGGCUAUUACUGACACUCAGAGACGAAAGCUAGGGUAGCAAAUGGGAUUAGAUACCCUUGUAGUC